GCUUGAAAAGUGCCUACCCCUGGCCUGGGAUGCUUCCUCCUGGGAUGCUCCCACUUGGAACCCAACUAUUGUGCUGCAGAAGUUUAACUUAACUGUGUAAGGAGGCCAAGAGGAGGCCCUGGCUGCCAGCCAGCAUCAACUUCCAGUGACGUGAGUGUGCCAUUCUGGAACUGGAUCCUGCAGCCUCGGUGGAGCAGCCUCAGCUGAUGCCAUGUGGAACAGAGAUGAACUGCCGCUGCCGAGCUCUGCCCACGUUGCAGAAUCAUGAGCAAAUAUGUUGUGGAUUGGCUGUAACUCUGCUCUGGGAUCCAGGCUGAAGGAGCAGGCUCUAUCUGGAACAUUACUAGUCUCCAGGCAGAAGAAAAAGAGACAAUGGAAUGGAUGAUUGAAUGGAUGAAUGAACUCCACAGGAAGAUGAGGAAAGCCUUUAUGGAUGGAGUGAGCUUGCAGCAGAGUCUCAAAGGGAAGAGUUUGAAUGUUAUCAUUUGGGCAAUGGGAAGCUAUUCCUGGGUCUUCACAAGGGAAUCAGUUGGUGAGAACUGCUGUUUAGAAAGACAGCCCUGGCAGCAACUCAAGCGCUGGGAGAGGACAGAACCACCAGGGAAGAGGGUAUGGGGAAGAAGAGCAGCAGGCUGAGGACAGGCCCAGGACUGAAGAAUCAGGCACAGGAAGAAGAGUCCAUGGGGCAGGCUGUGAAAUGGACAAAGGAAAACCAGAGGUGCUUCCCAAGCAGGGGGCCUGGCCACCAGAGUCCCAAGCUACCAAGAUGUCAAGUAAAGAAGAACUGAAAGCCAACUGCUGGAUGCAGCAGUGAGUGGGGGUCACAGUGGCCUUUGCCAGAACUGUUCCAGUGGAGGAGUAGAGGAAGAGAGAAAACCACAGGAGCAGGCAUCGCAAGCUCAUGCUCCACCCACACGUCCCCUUUCUCCUUUAGUCCUGUGACCCAUGUGCUUGCUCUCUUUCUCUCUCAAAGGAGAUCCAAAUUUAAAAAUAUGGAGCCAAGGGAAUCAGUUCCUUUGCGAACACACUGAACGUUAGUUUUCUUCUUCUCUUUUGCAAAAACUUCUUAUUUCACAAAAUACUCAAACAAAUAGACAAAGUACAGUGAAGUCCAGGUAGAUAUCAUCCACCUUCAGCAAUGAUCAAUCCAUGGCCAAUCUUUCAUCUCAACACUCGUAUCCUCAUUCUUGUGGAGCAAAUGCCAGACAUUCUUUCAUCCAUCAGUAUGUCAAUAUGUAUCUCUGAAAUAGAAGGACUUUUUAUAAAACAUAAUCAUAAUAUAAUUAAUAUUCAUUCCCCAAUUGU
This 1305-nucleotide long non-coding RNA is filed under the name Homo sapiens (human). RNAcentral describes it as "HSALNT0382887". The record is from RNAcentral. Lineage: Eukaryota; Metazoa; Chordata; Mammalia; Primates; Hominidae.